Molecule: small nuclear RNA, 108 nt
Organism: Sorex fumeus (smoky shrew)
Lineage: Eukaryota; Metazoa; Chordata; Mammalia; Eulipotyphla; Soricidae
Source: RefSeq, a predicted model, not a curated record
AUGCUCAGUUUGACAGCAAAUACACUAAAAUUGGAGCCAUACAGAGAAGAUUAGUAUGACCCCUGUGCAAAGGAUGACAUGCAAAUUCAUGAAGCUUUCCAUAUUUGG